Transfer RNA from Plicaturopsis crispa FD-325 SS-3, 87 nucleotides. It matches the Rfam family "tRNA". Rfam says of the family: Transfer RNA (tRNA) molecules are approximately 80 nucleotides in length. Their secondary structure includes four short double-helical elements and three loops (D, anti-codon, and T loops). Further hydrogen bonds mediate the characteristic L-shaped molecular structure. tRNAs have two regions of fundamental functional importance: the anti-codon, which is responsible for specific mRNA codon recognition, and the 3' end, to which the tRNAs corresponding amino acid is attached (by aminoacyl-tRNA synthetases). tRNAs cope with the degeneracy of the genetic code in two manners: having more than one tRNA (with a specific anti-codon) for a particular amino acid; and 'wobble' base-pairing, i.e. permitting non-standard base-pairing at the 3rd anti-codon position. Lineage: Eukaryota; Fungi; Basidiomycota; Agaricomycetes; Amylocorticiales; Amylocorticiaceae. The record is from Rfam.
GCCCCCGUUGUCUAAUGGUUAUGACGUCAGACUUCUAUGUUUUCUAUAGCGAUCUGGAGGUUCCGGGUUCGAAUCCCGGUGGGGGUU